GCCACAGUUAAAUAAUCUGUAGAGUAAAUUGCAUGUUUGGCCCUCAAAUUUUAAUUUAUUAUAAUUUUUAAUUCAAAAUUUGAAAUUUAUUGUAAUAAAAUUUUAUAACCCAAUUUAGAUUAUUACAUAUAUUAAUUUAUAACAAAUGUAAAAACAUUGUACUAGUGUGUUAAUUUUGUAAUGCACCAAUAAUUAAGAAUCGCAUUAUUUGUACGAUAAUACAUUAAUAUUUAAUCAAUUAAAUAAUACCCGCAUUAUAGUUUAACCAAACGUGCAAUUUACCCAAAGUCUCUGUGAUACCAUGGUCGCUGGGGCUGUGCCUUGCUCCGUCUUUCGUGCUUGGCGUUUGCACCGUCCAUAAAUACCACCGCAGCUCGUCAUUUGCCGAGCGGUGUCGUCGUUACCUUUCUGCUUCACGGUCAGCCGGCUCAGCUUCACACGCUGCUUUGACGCAAACUCCCUCAGUACCUCUGACAUUAAAAACCAUCUCAUCUAUACUAGUCAAAUGAUGUAAAACUACUGUUAUUUUUCGAAAGCUUAAGCUACUUAAAAACUGUAUUUUUAAUAUUCACAUUCAACAUUCUUUCUCACGUUGAAAUUUAAGACCUGUUGAUAGACUCGAACAUAAACUAAUGUUAAAUGGGAUGGCGGGGUUGUAAUACCAAACGAAAUUAUAUGAAAUAAUAGGUAUUUUUCAAGAUUUUAAGUCGUUAAAAAACGAUAUUUUUAAUAUUUAAAUUCAAAAUAAAAAGACGAUGAAAUGGUGCACGACAAAAGAAAAAAAUCUCAGUACAAGAAUGCAUUUUAGAUGACGCUUGAAAAAUUUUCAAGAUCCAACACGUUCUUACAAUAUAGCAAAUAAUAACACUUCAAAAAAUAUCGCACAUGAACCCUCAAUUAUAUCAAAUCAACUUAUUAAAUAAUAAAUUUUACUAUUAUUUGUAAUUUUUAGAUUUUUAAAAAUUCUGACGCACGUCAAAAUAUAUUUUACUGUCGCUCGGCAUAAGUGGCGUUAUAUAUACACAACGGCCGCGACUCUUUAUUUACCGAUGCAUUUAAAUAUGACGCUAUGCUGUAUUGAGAUGCUUUUAAGCAUAUAUAUAUAUAUAUAUAUAUAUAUAUAUAUAUAGGAUAUAUAAUAUAUAUAUAUAUACUAUAUAUAUAUAUAUAUAUAUAUAUAGAGUGAAGCCUACUAUACUUCUGGAAGUACGGAGCUUCCGUGCUUUUAGGUCGUUUUCGAUGUUGUGAUUUUCGAAUCGUCAAUCGGCUCCGUUAAACUUGAUCUAGAAUAUUUGAAGUACUUAGAAAAUAAAUUUUAAUUUUCGAUAACAUCUGCUUGGUGAUCGAAGGUACUCAAAAUCAAUAAUUUUAAAUAGCCGUGUGGAGCCGUUUGCAAGUUUAACGGUGUAGAAAUAUUCAAAUCACGUAAAAUUUUGAUAAAAAAUUUUUUAUACUAUAUAAAACAAAUCAAUAUUUUUGAUCUAAAAUUUUAAUAUCAUAUUAUCACGUUUUGUAAGAUUUUUAUUUUCAGCCGUUAUUUUGAGCCCCUUAGUUCACUAGGCAAAUGAUAUCGAAAAAUUGUAAAAUUUAUUUUCUAGGUACUUCAAAUACUCUAGAUCAAUUUUAACGGGCCGAUCGACGAUUCGAAAGUCGCAACAUCAAAAUAACCUGAAAGCAUGAAAAGCCCUCCAUGCUUCCAGAAUAUAAUAGCCUCUUCUCUCUCUCUCUCUCUCUCUCUCUCUCUCUCUCUAUUAUAUAUAUAUAUAUAUAUAUAUAUUCUUAAAUAUUAAUUUUUUUUCGUAAUGGUGGGGGCCGACCUUCGAAGGUGACGAGGCGGUAGACGCGGCCGAUGAGGAGGGUAUCGUCGGGGCGGAGCAGCUUAAGAUGCUUCACCGGGUGAGCAGCAGCAGCAGGAGCAGCAGGAGCAGGGGGUGUGGUGGCGGUGACGAUAACGGCGGCGACGUAGUGGCCGGGGUUAGCGGCCAUGACGUGGCAGGCGCUGAGCGACCAAUAGAAUCGUUCGACCCUCCCCCCCGGGUGCUCGAUCACCACCGUCGCCGCCUCCGCCGCUUGGCAAUUCCCCAUCUAUCGAUAUAUAGAUCCCUCCUACACUCCUACGUACCUUAGUUUGUACGUACGUUACGUGUGUAUACGUAAAUGUAUACGUAUCUCUCUCUCUCUCUCUAUCUAAGAGGAGGGACGAUCCCAAACCCAAAUUAAGCGAUGUGUGGUGGAGCGAAAACAAGCGGAGGGGGAAUGAAGGGGAGAGAGAAAGGAGGGUGAGGUGGCGUGAAGUGCGUUUAAUACGGGCGUGAGAGUGCGGUGCGGAUUUAUUUAUUGGGCUUUUUUUACAAAUAGCCCCCUUAUAAUUUGUUUUUUUUAAAUUGGCCCUGUCAAAAAUUUAUUUGCGAAAAUGGCCCUACCCCCGCUACGUCAGCGCCACGUCAGCGCCACGCGGGCGGGACUGGGCCAGAUGGUUAUGUUGAACACAGUGAACCAUUCACCGUGUCCAAUAUAAAAUGGUUAAGAUCGAAAUAUUUGUAUUGGACACGGUGAAUCAUUUACCGUGUCCAAUACAAAUAAUUGGACACGGUGAAUGGUUCACCGUAUCUAAUACAAAUACCUCCAACUUACUCAUUGUUGGGGUAUUUGUAUUGGACACGGUGAAUCAUUCACCGUGUCCAAUACAAAAAUUUUGUAUUGAACUCGGUGAAUGGUUCACCGUGUUCAACUUAAACACCUGCGCCCGCCCUGCCCGCGUGGCGUUGACGUGGCGCUGGCGUGGCAGGGGCAGGGCCAUUUUUGUAAAUAAUUUUUGGACGGGGCUAUUUUUGCAAAUAAAAUUUAUCAGGGGGCUAUUUGUAAAAAAAACCCUUAUUUAUUAGGUGAAAUGCAUUAAUAUCCCUGCAAACGUAAUAAACUACAAAUAAGUUUCUACGAACUUUAAUUUUUAUAUAUUACUAGCGCAAAAAUUCUAAUAUUUUCUAAUAUGUUCUUUUGAUUUGUUAUAAUUAUAAAAUUAUUUAUGAUUUAAGUAAAAUAUCAAGUUUGUUAUUACAAAUAUGUACCUCUAAAAGCCACAACAGUAAAACAAAAAUAUCAAAUUAUCUUAUAAAUUAAUCAGAGUUAAGCAUUUAAUUAUGAUUAACUAAAAUUUUCUAACGGAUUCUAACGACAGGAACAUAUUUAAAAAUAUUAGGAUUUUUAUAGGCAUAUGAAAAUUGAACUUUUAAGAGACAUAUUUGUAAUUCAAUAUAUUUACAGGGACCUGUAAGAAAUUAAUCCUAUUUAUUAUUGAGUCAUUAUUUAUAAAUAAUAUUUUUAGAGUCCGACUGCUGUACUAUCAAUAACACGGAUACCUUCGUGCUACCAAGUUAUUUUUAUUUAUAAUUUUUUGAUAUCAUUUACCUAUCAAAAAAGUAGUCUAAGAAUAAACGGCUGAAAAUAAAAAUCUUUUUAAAAAUUAAUGAUAAAUCUUUUUAAAAAAUAAUGAUAAAAGACUUGAAUUUAAAAUCAGAUGUACUGAUUUUACUCUAAAUAGUAAAAAAAAAAUUAUAAAAAUUUUAUUGGAUUUGAAUUGUUUUACAUAGUUAAAUUCGCAAACGCAUCACAUUGAUCAUCAAAAUUAUCAAUUUUGAGACUUUUUGAUUACUGACCAAAUAAUAUUAAAAAAUUAUGAAAUUUAGUUUUCAAAUACUUUAAAUAGUGUAAAUCAAGUCUAACGAAGCUAUUCGUCGAUUUGGAAGCUGCAUUAUUGAAAACAAUUUGACAGCACGGAGGUCAGCCUGACAGCCUCUGUGCUAUCGAUAGUAUAGCAGCCUAAUUCAUAUUUUUAUAUCACUUUUAUAUUAAUAACUUAUUAAUACUUGGUUUGCUAAAUAAAAUUGCAAAAUAUGAUUAAAUUAGUUCAGAAAGUUCAUGCAAAAAUUUACAAUAAAUAAAACUAGUUUGAGGACCAAAAGCAUAUAUAAUUUAUCCUAAACUUUUUGAAAUAGCAAAUUUUAUAAUUUUUUAAUAUUAGUUUUUUUAAAAAAAUUACAAUAUUUUGUUUGAUUUUGACAUUUUUACUAAUUUGUUAAUUAAAAUUCAUAAAACUUAAAGUGGGAUUCAGUUUCUGAUUCAUUAAAUUUUGAACAAGAAUUAAGCUAUUGUAAUCAGUGGUAGUGGUUGAUAGUUUUGAAAUAAAGGUACGUAAUUAGAGAGCACACAUCAUAAUUAAAGAUAGUUGUUCAUUAUAUAUAUAAUGAAUAGUUUUUUCUUUUUUAUGGUUAAAAGACGUAAUUUUUUAUAUGUUUUUGCUCAUGAGCAUUUUUCUUGUCCUUUUUAUCUCAAAAAUAAAUAAAAACAUUGAGGUUUUAUUGAUCCCUCUUGGCUUAUAUGGAAAAACUAUCUGUGUGGAAGCCAAAAAAAACCUCUCAUAUUUGAAUCAGGAUUUUUACGAUUUUGCUCCAUCGAAUUCAAAUUAUCUAUUACUUAAUUUGAUUUAGUUUUACAAAGUUUACUAAUCAUUGUUUGAUUUUCUCCGAUACAUUUUAGGUUAGGCAAAGUAAUUAACAGUUCUCUAUUAGAGAUUUUAAUUAGAGCAAAAAUUUAUGUAAGCUUUUUAGAUAUGAGGGCGGAAGCUCUACUUAAAGCUCGUAUUCCUGAUACAACAGUAAUAAGAAAAUUGAUGCAGCAACAUUCAUUCACUGCUAUAAAAGAGUACUAUUAUAAAUUCUCAUAGUAUUAUCUUUAUAUAUAUAUAUUUUUUUGUGAGAAAAAGAUAGUAUGAUAUCCAUUUUAUCCAUUAGAAAGAUAAACUAUGCUACAGGGGUGAGACAACGUGGGCCUCGAGGGCUUAAAGUUACAAAAGAAAAAACAAAAUGCCUCCAACCGCUUAAUAUUCUGCUUAAUUUUGCUUAAUUUGCUCCCAAAACUUCGCAAGCUGCUUAACCUUGUGGAUAGCUAACAAUGUGUCCAACUGGAUCUUUCUAAAAAUCAUAUCAUUACUAACCUUCCAGAUGAUCCAUCAGCAGACUACUAAACCUGUUAGUCUGUGUCUCGUAGUUUGUCCACCUACCCCACCCUUUCAUCUAUCCCAGACAGAGAUAACAUCUUCUCCCAUAUUCUUGUCCUGAAUGUCCUCCACUCCCAUUACUAAAAUAAAUUUGGAGAAUACACACUGUAUGAAUAAAUGAUCCACAGUUUUUUCUUCAAUCCGACACAGCACACAGGCUGUGUCUCCAGUCCUCCCUCCCUUCACUAGGUUGUUUGUCGUAAGGGGUUUCUUCUUAAGUACCAGCCAACAGAACACUUUACCUUUUAGGGGUAUUCAAAGUUUUCAAAUCUAGUAUUGUUUAUAUGUUGGUUUUCACUAUAUGAAUUAUUGUAUUGAUUGGUUAAUGUCCCAAAUGUGAGAUUCCUAUAUAAAUUUACAAAUAUAUAAUUAAUAUAUAAUGGCAAUAACAGAGAAAAGACGAGAUAGCAUAUAUUUAUUUAUACUAAACAAGAGUGUAAGCCAUUUAUAUAAAAAUAAGCAAUAAAUAAAAAUUAGGGCUAUAACUUUGCCUUAUAACAACUUUCUAAUAAAAUAUUUAUUUUGCUAAUGGGCCGACCUUGGGCCGUGACUCGUUUGAAGCCCAUAUAGUGCGCAAAUAUCGAAUAUGUUGCCCGAAAGUCCGAACCCGCCUUUUUAAAAUUUGCGCAAGGUUUAUGGGAGUCCAUUUAAUUCCCGGCCUGGUCCAAUGUAGCUGCAUCUUCAUCAACUACAAUAAUGUAUAGUUUCCUUAACUAUCUCGCGGUUUGAAUAUCUGUAUCGAUCAAUGUAUUAGUCAAUACUGUAUAAGUUAGUGUGUAAAUUGUAGAUGAUAUAUCAGUAUUUCAGCAUAUUAGAAACUUUUUAGCCCGCAAACUGCGUUCUCAUAACGCAACGCAUGCUUUUGUUUUUCUCCCAAACGAAUACAAAUGGACCGUAAGCGCGGCCCGCUUAUAAGCAAGCAGGGCCAAACCCCUAACUUAGUCGGCAAACUUAUCUAAACUUGGGGCCAAGUUCUCAAGCAGCAUCUUUUUUAAGAGUCUUAGGCUUAAUUUGGUAUUGAACUCUAUUUAACGCUAUUAGAUAAAAUAGAAGGCUUAGUCUGGUAUUGAGCUCUAUUUAACGCUAUUAGAUAAAGUAGAGUUGGCGUAAAAACAUAUAAGGAUAUGUUUCUGCAUUAUAUGGUGAGAUCGUAAAAAAUAUAUCAUAACCGACUAAUCACGAUAUACGAAGCGCAAUAAUACGUACGGAAACAAACAAAAUAUUUUCUCAUAGUAUUUUUUUACCACACGUAAUGUAAUUUCCCCGCAUUUUCAAACAAAGCCCAUUUUGUUUUCGCUGUUUACCGCAAGUCUCCCUUUGUAAUUUAUUAGCAUCAAAUAUUCACCUAUCAAAAUGCCCUGAUGCAAUUAUGUUUGGUGCCAAAGGUACAGUCCAAGGUUGUCCUCCACCAUGUGGAGUAUUCAAUAAACUGGUUUGACUCCAAAUUAAUGAAAAAGCACACUAUCCAAAAGUCAAUAUCCAUCUUUGCAUUAACAUCCAUGGUCCCAUUCUUGUAAAAUGGAAAAAAAAAUUAGUUUCAUUUAUUUCACAGCAAUAAUCUACUAGCUAUAAAAAUGCCAAAAAAAAUAGGAAAAAAAAGAAAAUAUUAAGUCAUAUAACCUAAAUCAUUCAUAGUGGCUAUUUCCUCUAAUUGAAUGUGGAAUAUAAAAGAUAAUUGGUAUAUAUAUCGACUUUCGUGCAAUCAUUGAUAAGUCCUAUUUAUUAGAAACGGAAAAGUUCGUAGUUUCAUUUAAUGUUUUAUAAAAUGAUCUGUUUGGAUAAAAUUAAAAGAAUUUCUAAUUUGUUAUGCGUGAAAUGUUAAAGACGUACAAUUGAGAAAUGCAUCUAGGGGAGAAAUAUGCUGCGUAAUAUAAUCAAAAUUAAGAGUAUAAAAAAGGCCUAUCUCUUUAAAAAAAAUCUAGUCCAAGAUAUAUUUAUUACUCUCCUCAUUUAAUUGAUAUACACAUAAGAACCCAUAACUAAGUAAAUUACGAAAAAAAUUUCAACCUACUAAAUCCACUGCAUCACAGAGCUGGUUGGAUAAAAAAUUAGAUCCAUAUCUAACAUUGAUCAAAUCAACACCGCAUGUAAUUUGACCCUUAUGUUCUAUAAGUUAGCAUUUGCUAUAUUAUACAUAAUAAUUGGGUAAUUGGGAAUUGAGUGGGAAUGCUUUUAAACUUCUUGGAAUUUCUAUGUCCUUUUUGACAAGGGCGUCUAAAUUUUAUAAGUAUUACAUUAUUAACCUAGUAAUCAAGUGGUUUUAAGUACACUUUAUAGGCGACGUUAAGAUUUGUAGAUUAUCAGACCAGUUAAACGAUGAGUAAUAAUGAUGAAAAAUCACGAAAUGUAGUUUUAGAAAAUUCCUAAGAGGUUGACCAUGUAUAAAAGUGUCGAUCAUCGGUUCAUAUUAUCCAUCACCUAAAAUGUUAGUUUGGAUAGCAGUGUUCUAAAAUCUAGAUAGAACUGGUCGGUUCGGCUGGUUUGACUGUGACCACUUAAUAAGCAGUUCGGUUAAAUCAGCAAACGGGUGAACCAGCCCAAUUUUAAACAAAUCGGCUAUGUUUUUUUUUUCUUUCUUUUUUUUUUCUAUUUUUCAUUUUUUUCUUCACUAAUUUUAAUUUCAUUUAUGGUUCAUUUUUGCUAAUUAUAUUUUUUAUUGUGAAAAGUGAAACUUGAAAACUUAUAUUUAUUUAAUUUAGUUGAGAAAUCAGUAUUCCAUAAUUAAGUACGAUACUAACAUAUAUAUUAUCAUAUAUACAAUUUUUAAUAUAAUAAAAUUUAAAAAAUAAUUAAAUAUUUAUAACAUCAUGCUGAACUUAUUAGUCUCGGUUGAACUAGUAAUUCAUGAUCCAGUAAUAUUUUUCGAUUGUUGUUCAACUAAAAUUCUAAAAUAUCGACGUCCAAAAGUAUUCUAACUCAAUUCUUUUUUUUUUUUUUUGAUAAAUAAGGUAGCACGGCUCCCCUUCGUUUAUUUCAUGUAGAAAUAAACUUAGCUGAAAAUGUGAAUCAAGUAGGAUUCGAACUCUGGGUCUCAGGUACCAACCAUCAUCACUACAACAAAAACGGUCUAUAGCGACACUUUUAAAUGUAGGUACAUGUCAAAAAAAUGCUGCUAGCUAAAAUUACCGACACUUUUAAAAAGUGUUGCUAUAUGUGGGGUCGCUAGGUAUAUAGUGACAGUUAAAGAGUGUCGCUAUAACCUAAAAGAGUGCUGCUAAUUUACAAACACUUAUUUAAGUAUUUAGCAACCGCCGAAACUCUAUAUCGUUGGCUGCGGUGGCGGAGGAGAACGACAGGAAAGGCUCUUCGUCUAAAAUUUCAGUGGAUUGAGUGAAGAGAGAAGAAAAGAUGGUAAUUGAUUUUUCUCUUUUUUUUUUUUCUUUUCUGUUUGUAAUCGUGCCAAAUAGACCGGGUGUGGUGGGUUGAGUAGAGUAAUCUUUUAUUUUUGGUUGGAUUGGGCUUUAUAUUUAGGCAUUAGUAGAUAUUUUUUUAAAGUUUUAGCAUAAAUAGGACACUUACUCAAAAGUGUCCCAAACAUGUGUCGCUGUAAUCUAAUUCUGUUGUAGUGUUGCCACUUGCUCUAGGGACGGUCGGUAACUCAAUUCUAAUAAUUGCGCGACAAUUAUUUGAUUUGAUGUAGAAGUUAUGUGCCUCGUGAAACUCAUAACUGUUUCAAGCUGCUACUACAGAAAUCUCUAGUAACUUUUCUUUUUCUUUUUUUUUUUCUUCUUCCAACGGAGACAAACUAUUUAUUCUUCUGGGGCCAAAAGAGCCAGGAAUUUACCAACCCUAGUAGACAUGAAUGAAUCCCCCUCCAGAAUAUAAAAUAUAAAAUAAAAUAAAAUAAAAAGAAAAAAGAAAAGAAAAGAAAAGAAAAAAGUCUAUGAGCCAGCUCAUAGAGAGUCCUCAACUGCUUCUGCUUUUUUUUUCUCCUUUAGCAACCCCACAAGGCACAACAGUGCUUUUGAAGGAGUCCACACUUUGACUACAACUGGCUUGUGUUUUUCCCUAUCUCACCUUGACCUGUGUGCUUUGUGGUAGUGCACACAUUUUGAAGGCUCAAGUUUCAACUCCAACCAUGUGAGAUGGGUGGGUUAGGGCUUGUUUAAUGAAAUGCUAUUUAAAAGAUACUAUUAGCUAAUUGAAGCACUAUUUUUUAGUUACAUUAUUUACGUUUUCUCUUGGGCAGCUGAGUCAAAAGUUUCGCUUUUAGGCCUUAAAAUUAUAUUUGUCACAAUCUUUACUAACAAACUACCGAUAAUUACGAUCACUUGUGCAGAUUUUUGAUCAUUGGAUAGAUAUAUCUACGAGUUAGCACAAUAUGUUGCUUACUCCACUUGUUGUUAACUUGUUAUUGAACUGCGAUUUUAGAAGAACCACUUAAACAGGCAUAUGAUCACCAGGACAUAACUACUGUGAUAGCUUAAUUAACCUUAAUCGUGCUUAAGAACCAUUUAAGAUUCGCAUAAUAUUAGGAAUAAAUAGCCAGGAUCCAAACUAACCCCAUCUAAUAAUUGGGAGAGGAUAGUACAACCAUAAAUGACAAGCGUCAACAGAUCUCACCAGGGGAGUGUGGAAGAGAGGACCAUUGAAUUGGGUUCACGAGAUAGUGAUAUGGUGUGGGGGUUUAUAUAUAUAUAUAUAUAUAUAUAUAUAUAUAUAUAUAUAUAUAUAUAUAUAUAUAUAUAGAGAGAGAGAGAGAGAGAGAGAGAGAGAGAGAGAGAGAGAGAGAGAGAGAGAGAGAGAGAGUCCGGAUAGGAUACUAUCGAUAGCACAAAGAAUUUGGUGCUAUCGAGUUUUCUCCCGUUAGAUUUAACUCUUUAAUUAUUUUUACCCGUUAGAUUAUACUAUUCAACCAACCACUCACUCAAUCCUAAGGAGUUCACAUCAUCCUAACCACACAUUUCUUAAUCCAAGAGCUGAAAAACUAACAGUAUUUUAGCUAGUUCUCUCUCUCUCUCUCUCUCUCUCUCUCUCUAUAUAUAUAUAUAUAUAGAACUAGGCUAGAAUAUUAUUAAUAGUACUAAGUCAUUAGUGUUAUUAGGUUUUCGGCCCUUGGAUGAAACGAUAAGCGGUUAAGAUUAUGGUGGCUCCCUAGGGUUGAGUAGGUAGUUGAUUGAAUAAUAUGAUUUAAUGGGUGAAAAUGACCAAAAGGAGCGAAAAACUUGGUAGCAUCGAGUGCUUGGUACUAUCGAUAGCAUUGUAGCUGGAUUCUCUCUCUCUCUCUCUCUCUCUCUAUAUAUAUAGAGAGAGAGAGAUAUAUAUAUAUAUAUAGAGAGAGAGAGAGAGAGAGAGUGAGUCCAGCUACUAUACUAUCAAUAGUAUCAAACUCUUAGUAUUAUUGAGUUUUCUGCAAUUAGAUUCUUUGAUUAUUUUCACCCGUUAGAUUAUACUAUUCAACCAACUACCAACUCAACCUUAGGGGACCACUAUCAUCCUAACCGCACAUCCUUUCAUCCAACGGGCGAAAACUCAGAUAGCACAAAAUGUUUGGUACUAUCGAUAAUAUAAUAGCAUAUAUAUAUAUAUAUAUAUAUAUAUAUAUAUAUAAUAUAGAGAGAGAGAGAGAGAGAGAGAGAGAGAGAGAGAGAGAGUCCAGUGUUACUAUGCUAUAUAAUAGGCACGGAAGACAGUUGGUGCUACAAGUGUUCUGCCGGUAGUCUACGCAUUUUGAUCAUUUCACUCGUUAGAUCAUACUAUUUCAACCAAGCCACCUCACCACAACAGAAUUAGGUUAAUAGGGACACAUGUUUGGGACACUUUUUGAGUACAGUGUUCAUUUAUGACCGUAAACUUAAGAAAAUAUACUACUAAUCUUAAAGAUAAAGCCCAUCCAACCAACAAAUAAAAGAUUAACUCUAAACUCAACCCUACAAACCCAGCUCUAUUUGGGGCCUGAUUACUAAAUUCAGAAAAGAACCAAAGAAAAAAAACUCCAUUACAUCUUUUCUUCUCUCUCACAACUCAAUCUAACUGAAAAUUCUAGACGAAAGAGCUUUCCUUCGUUCGUCCUUUCCUCACCCGCCACGAGCCAACAGAGAUAGAUGUUUCGGCGGUGCUAAAUGCUUAAAUAAGUGUUUGUAAAUAGCAAGCACUCUUUUAGGUUAUAGCGACAACUCUUUAACUGUCAUAUAUAUUACCCUACGAGCCCCACAUAAUAGCAACACUUUUUAAAAGUGUCGUAAUUUACUAAGCAGCAGUUUUUUGACAUGUACCUAUCUUGAAAAGUGUCGCUAUAAAUGACCGUUUUUGUUGCCAUUUCUAGUGCCUAUUAAAACCCUUGGGGCCACAUCAUUCUAACCGCACAUCUUAACCAAUGGCCAAAACUUGGGUAGCACCAAUGAUUUGUGCUAUUAAUAGUAUUAUUAACCUAGUUAUAUAUAUAUAUAUAUAUAUAUAUAUAAUUAUAUAGAGCCGCCGGCUACUAUAUCUCUUAUAGCAACCGAACGUCUUUUGUUACUGCAUAAUUUUUUACCUUCGUUGUGUCUACUCUGUUAAUCAUUUUCACUCGUGUAGUAUUAUACUAUUCAACCACCCACACACGUCAACUCCUAGGAAACAUGGGCCCCUAUCACCUAACCGUAACACUCUUCAUCGCCCUACCAGCGCACAUUUUUCAGUCUCUGAACCGGUAAGACCGCGAAUUAGUUUAUGAGUACAUUAAGGCUCUAUACUCAUAUGAGUAUACGUCAGCCCUCACCCUAAAUAUAUAUAUACUGUAUAUAGCGCUGGGGCAACCUAUAGCUCUUAUGAUAUAACACAAUCCGUUCAACUCAUAAAUUUUUAACCGUUGAUAUGAUACGAGUAAUAUUGUAGCCUGGGUUAGGAUGGUGGUCUGAUUGGCUUCCCAACUUUAUGUAAUCAUAAUGUCCCUUAGGGUUGAGUGGAUAUGUUGGUUUGUAAUACUAUAAAAAAAAAAUUAACGGGUAAAAUGAUCAACUGGAAUAAUCUAAGGGCCGAAAUUAUGAGUAUGAAGAAAGACAAAUUUAACUCUAAAAAGUAUAAGUAGCUAAACUCAUCAGACAUAACUGAUAUUAAAAUAGACAUUUAUAUAAUAAAACAUAUAAUAUAUAUAGAUAUUAUAUUAUUAUAUAUAUAUAGAAUUAGGCCUACUAUGCUAUUAUGAGCACAAAGUCAUGUGCUACCAAAGUUGUUUGGCCAUUUGAAUUAAAGAGAUAUUACAUGGUUAGGAUAUGUGGCUCCUAACCGGGUUGAGUGAGUUGUUGGAUUGAUAUAGUAUGAUAAUCUAAUCGAUGAAAAUGAUCAAAAGGGCUACAUCUACGACGCGGAAAAAACUUGGUAGCUCAUAAAACAUAAUCUUCGUUGAUUAUUGGAAUCCAGACCUAGUAGCCGGCCGACUCUAAUAUAUAUACUAUGGCUUAUCAACAGGGCCAAAAACUUAUGAGUAUAAGAAGAACCAAAUAACCUAUAUAAAUAUAUCCCUUCGGACUCUCUCUCUCAUCUUCUCAGAUCGUUCACUAGGAUCCGAGUUAUUGCUUCGCCUCCAUUUUCCCCUUCAGUCCAUAUCCAUUACCAAUUCACAUUUACAAAGACACCCAUUAUUAUGACGAAUCAUCUAAAUAUCCAUAAUCAAAACCCUCUAACCCGUCAUACAAAACCCCAAGUUCGAAAUCCCUAGCUAUCGCUUUCAGGUCACCCAUCACCUGAAUUUAUACGGCAACACUCCCACAGCGUAAUAUAUUGGAAUAUUGAAUCGGAUAGCCAGAUAUUGGUCCAUCAUGAUAAUUGUAUUCAAAUAGCAGGCAGCCAUCGUCAGACAUAACAGUUUGACCAAUCACAAAUCAUCCUAGGAAAAUUCCUAGCAAACUUCCUAACGAUGUGAUUCAACAAUAUGAUUCGCGUUUCCUAGUAGAGCCAAGGCAACAGCCUUGCUCUUACUGCACCAAGGAAUCCAUCACUCCAAGAUAAACCAUACUGAGACGGACCAUGCUCUAUCAUCACGCCUUACAUAUCAGCAUCACAAUUUCCUUAUAAUCCUAAGUCCCUUGAAACAAAACGAAUCACGUUCCUUAAAUUCGAAGCGAUCCAUUGAGACUGCUGCCAAUGAAUAAGUUGUUGCUCUGCAAAGCUCAACUUUAGUCAAGUCAAAACAAAGCAGAUCCCCCGAUACCACAUAGUCCAAACUGAAGCACGUACUGACCUACUCAUCUCUCUUACCUUUAGUGCCUUAAGACCGAUGUGAUUCUUCUCUAUGGUAUCAAUCAUUUAACAACUGAUCCAUCUAAAAGUCAGAAUUUUAUAAGUUCUUAGACCAAACAAGAAGUUCAACAUCACAUCACUACCGAGCACAUAGCUCCUCAACAUGUCUAUUCAAAGUGAGAGACAACACUUAGUGUUGAUUACUCAUGAUGUCAGCCAAUAAUAUCGCGACGUAAGGAUAAACAAAUCCCAUCUCUUUCUUAAUAUAAAACAGUGCCCUUACAUGAUACGAUAGUAGGUAUGCUUACAUAAACCUGAAAUACAUAGCCGACUACUGCUGAGGACAAUAAAUGGAUUUUAAAUCACUAAACUGGUUUUUGUUGAUACCAAAACCUCAGGUUGACCUAGCAAUUCCCUCGCUAAUUCCCCGUGAGAAAGCUGUUAGAUCCAAUUGAUUCCAAAUCUAUCCUAAUAGAUAUCAAACGAAGAAUCGCAAAUCUCUCCAACGGGACGCAACCUCGUGUAUCUACCCUCCUCCUAAGCGUAGCUACCACGACCCUGUAUUAUCGAUUGAUCAAUCCCCUUGCCUUAAUUUAAACACAUUUAUUUUUCAAUAACUGAGAGGUCAAGCUCCAUUCCCAUCAUUGUCUGCCAUGAAGUCACUCAUCUCUAUCUUCAUAAGCAACCACACUGCAGCUCCGUGCACUCUAUGAUGUCUGCAAGCUUCUUUAUAAGAAGAGUCUCACGGCCAUACCAUAAAUAUUCCCCCUUCCGCUCAAAAAGUCCGGGCAGAAUAUUCCACUUUCACUUCUACCAAUGGAGGUCCGGAACUCGACUCAGUACUCAUUCAACAGCAUCAACUAGCCGAAGGAAGAAUACCGGCAGCUCUUCACUUCGGAUUCGAAGACAAUCCCUCUAACGUAAGAUAGGGGUUACGGCCUUACUCAUCAUCCGACGUUCUCCAUUUACAAUGCUUGAAAAAUCCUUUCUAGAAUUCACAUCACUGACCAAUCCGGUCAUAACCACAGCUGUUCCCAUACAUCACUACUCGAAUCCAGGUAUUGAAACACUGCGCUCGCUUUGGCGGUUCCCAGAUAUUUAUUGGCCUGACAUAUAACUGAACCAAAGGUGUAAUUAUAAACUUUCUCUAUCCCACCGAUCCGUCAUUGUGCAUAGAUCUGCACUUGUGCAUCGGAAACGAUUAGAUUGUAUCACUUGCAUCAUAAACAGUCUCUCCAAAAUUUAUAGAAUGCCACUUUAAGGUGCAGGUAUCUGCAAACAUUACUAAUAAAUACGUCCUGUCGUCGCAACAUCCAUUGUUCGAGUAGACCCGAAUAGGUUACUGUCGACAAUCUCCAUCUUCGCAUUCUCACAAAAAACUUUGAACUGAUUAGCCAAAGCAACAAUAUGUAGUACACCGCCCGCUGACUGAACUCCGCCCGAUCGCACCGAUUCACGGUUCGAUCCACGUCACUGGCGACGUACAACACCCGUCUCAUUUGACUGCUCCCGCCAAUCGCAACCCGCGUUCGCAGCAAUCUAACUUCAUCAAAUGGUAAACUAUAACACUAGACCCCCUAUCCAUAUAAAAUCAUGAAAGUAGAAAAUAGAACACAUAAUCGGUAUCCCUCACAUUCUGGCCAAUAAAGCGACGCGUACAUCAGUUCGCGCACAGCAGGUGCUCUAUUCUCUAUAUAUAAUAUCAUAUAUAUAUAUAUUAUAUAUAUAGUCCGACUACUAUACUAUCGUGCACGGAAGGCUCCGUGCUACCAAUUAUUUUGAUGGCGGCUGCCACUCGAUGAUCGCUCGUAUAACUUUGAUCUACUACUAUUGAAAAGUAUUUGGGAAACAAAUUUCAAAUUAUUUCAACAUAUUAUGAACUCAGUGAUCAAACGAUCUCAAAUUGACAAUUAUUGUCGAUGUGGGUGUUCUUGAAGUUUAACGGGUAAAACAAUCAAAUCGAUGAAAUUUUAUUGAAAAUUCUAUUUCCAUUAUUUAGUAGUAAGAUCAGUAUAUCUGAUCUUGAUUAAUAAUUUAUCAUCAUUUUUAUGAAUUUUAACUUUUUAGCCGUUCAAUUUAGAUAUACUUUUGUUGUGAUAGGUAAUAGUGAUCGAAAUUAUGAAAUUAAGUGUCUAAAUACUUUUAAUAGUGGUAGAUCAAGUCUAACGGCAGCCGAUCGUUGCGAUUUGAAAAUCGCAUCAUCGAAAAAACAACAUUGGUAGCAGCGGAGCCUCCCCGUGCUAUCGACAGUAUAGGCAGCCAGACAUAUAUAGUAUAUAUACUAUAUCUAUAUAUAUAUAUAUAUAAUUAUAUAUAUAUAUAUAUAUCAAUAUAAUAAUAUAUUAUACUAUAGUCUGGCUGGGGUACUAUCGAUAGCUACAGGAUUUGGUGGCUAUCGAGUUUUGUCGUCGUUUAGAUUUAAUUCUUUGAUUAUUUUUGCCCGUUUUAGAUUAAUACCUAUUCAACACCGCUACUCAGAAGCCCUAGGCCCCACAUCAUCCUAGACCACUCCAUUUCUCACAUCGCAGGGCAAAAUCACUAGCAGCUAAAUAGUUUGUGCUAUUGAAGUAUUAUCAGCCUAUAUAUAUACGUAAUACAAGCUAGGCUCGCUAUAUACUAUCGGUAGUCAUGUGACGCUCUCCGUGCUAAUCAAAGUUGUUUUCAAUGAUGCCGCUUCCAAAUCGAGAGAUUGGCAAAGGAGACUUGAUUUACACUAUUAAAAGUAUUUGAAACUAAUUUCCAUAAUUUUCGGUAUCAAUUUACCUAUUCAACUGAAUAGUCUAAAAAUAAAACGGCUGAAAAUAAAAUCUCAUAAAAAAUAAUGAUAGAAGACUUGAAUUUAAGGUCAGAGGUACUGAACGCUUACUCUAAAUAGUAAAAAGAAUUUUCUAUAAAAAUUUAUAAGCUGAUUUGAAUUUUUACAAUCCGGUUAAUUUACAAAUACAUACAUAUCUACAUUAAAAUUAUCAAUUUUGAGACCCUUUGAUACUAGCCAAAGAUGUCGAAAAUUCUGAAAUUUAAGAGUUUCCAAAUACUGUUUAAUAGUGUAGAUUAACUCUAAUGGCCGAUCGUCGAUUUGGAAGCCGCAUUCAUCGAAAACAAACUUGGUAGCAGGUAAGCCUCCGUGCCUACCGAUAGUAUAGCAGCUGAACUCUCUUCUCUCUCUCUCUCUCUCUCGCCUUCUCUCUCUCUCUCGCGUUCCCUCCAGUCAUCCUCUCUCUCUCUUCUCUAUUAUAUAUAUAUUUAUAGAGUCCGCCGGCUGCUAUCUAUUGAUAGGGGGCACCAACCACUUGUGCUAAUCAAGUUUUCUGGCGCCGUUAGAGUUAACCCCUUUGAUUAUUUUAACCGUUAGAUUAUACUAUUCACCAACUCACCCACCUCAACCUAAGGGCCCACAUCAGUCUAACGUUACAUUUUUUCAAUCCAAUUGGCUUAAAAAACUAAUAGGCACCAAAAGACUUGGUGCUAUUCGAUAGUAUUCCAGUCUAGUAUACUAUAUAUAUAGUAUAUAUAUAUAUAUAUUAUAUAUUAUCAUAUAUAGAAUACGCUACUAUGCUAUUUUAAUAGCACUUAAGUCAUUGGUGCACUAAUGAUUUUUGGCCAUUGAGAUCUAGCAGUAUGUGUGGUUAGGAUGAUGUGGGUCCACUAGGCUGAGUGGGGGUUGGUUGAUAGUAUGGACUAACGGUGAAAGAUCACAAAGGUAGAUCUAACGGCGGAAAACUGUAGUAUCCAAGUGCCUUGCGUGCUAUUAAUAGCAAUAGUAGCCGACUCUAUAUAAUAAUAUACUAUAUAUAUAGAGUAUAUGCCGGGCUACUAUACUCCUUGAUAGUAUAGACCCUUGUACUUAUAAAUUUUAACCAUUGAUUAAUGGGUUAUGGUAGGAUGAUGGUAGUACACACAACCGCACUUAAGAAUGAUAUGGUACCCAGGGGUUGAGUGGUAGUUUGGUUGGAAUCAGUAUGAAUCUAACGGAUAAAAAUGAUCAAUAAAAUAAAUGCUAAGGACGCGAAAGACUUAUAGUAUAUAGGAACCAAUACUCAUACAAGUAUAGUAGCGCAGACUCUCUCUCUCUCUCGACAGCUACUUGUGUCUCUCACCCAGGAUAAUCUCAUCUCUCUGCUCUCUCCUAUAUAUUAAUAUAUAUUAUAAUAUAUAGCCGUGAGGCUAACAAUAUGCUUUCGAAAGGCAAUGGAGCCUUUUUGUGUUUGCCAGUAUCGUUUUCGAUAGUUCGCGAUUUCGAAUGUCGGAUGGCUCCGUUAAACUUGAUUUAGAGUAUUUGACAAUACCUAGAAAAUAAACUUUAAAUGAUUUUUUGAUAUCAAAAUUUUGCCCUAGUGAAUCGAAGGAACUGCAAAUCAAUAAUUUUAAAGGCGCGUGGUGAGGCGUUUGCAAGUUUAAACGGUAAGACAAAUAUAUCAAUCACGUGCAAAUUUGAAUAGAAAAUUCUUUAAGCUAUAAUAAAACAAGAUCAAGAUUUUUGAUCUAGAAAUUUUAAUGUCAUAUAUCACGUUUUGUAAGAUUUAUUUUCAGCUGUGAUUUGAAUCCGCCUUAGUUCACAUAGGCAAAUUGAAUAUUGAAAAAUCAUACAAUUUAUUUUCUAGGUACUUUUCGAGUAACUUCCAAGAUUAGUUUAACGGAGCCAAUUCGACGAUGUCGAAAAGUUCUAUAUUAUAAUAUAUAGAUAUUAUAUAUAUAUAUAUUUAUAUAUAUAUAUAUAUAUAUAUAUAUAUAUAUAAUAUAUAUAUACUAUAUAUAUAUUCUACCACUACCUAGAGAGAGAGAGAGAGUACCUCCCCUAAACACUCUGUCUCUGUCGUAUUACUCUUUAUUAAAUAUUAAGGAGUGGGGUUAAAGAUGAAUAGAGUGUGGGAUAUACGGUUGUUAUCUGCAAAGGCAAUGCUGCUAUAUAUGUAGUACAUUUGUCCAAGGAUCACCUAAAAACCUAUAGACAAGGUAUAAAAUUUAUCUCUUCUAUAUAUUUACCUGCUAGUCUUAUUAAGUUUUUUAUAUCAAAAUAACAAUGCAUGUACAUUCCAAAAAAGGAUAUAAAUUUACACCCGACCAUCAAAAAGGCCCUUAAUUAUUGCAUUCUUGUCUCGUCAACAUUUUUCAAUUAUAUUAUUACAAAGGUUUUCAAGUCUGAAUCCUGCUAUGUUGCUAGUCUCGUUUUAUAAGAAAUUGUUAUUUAAAAGACCAUGAUUUUGAACACCUAGAUCUUCUGAUUGUCAUAGAACACAUCUAAUAAUUAGAUUCUAAACUUCAAAUGAUCUCUCGUAGAAUUUUAGAUGUGCGAUGUAUAAGAUAUAUCAAUAGGCAAUGUGUAGCGAAUAAUUUUUAGGGAGAAAGUGGGGUUUGAUUAGCUUCCCCACUCAUAAAAUGUUAUAUGAGGCAAGCUUGCCGAGAGCAGUACCGACUGCCUGCUGUACCGUCCCCAAGUCCUUGACGCUUGACCUGGUGGCAGCAGUUUUUACGAAAACAACGCCAGUGUCCGGUGACCACCGUUCGUUCGUAGUUCGUUCGCGCCAGUGUCCGGUCACUACCGUUCGUUCGUAGUUCGUUCGCACCUAACGUAGUUGGUUAAGAAUUUAAAACUAGGGCUACUAUACUCUUAUGAGUAUAGCUCAUUUUGUAUUCAUAAAUUUUUAAUUAUUGGAUAAAGAGAUGUGCGGUUAAGAUGAUAGCGGUCCCUUAAAAUUGAGUAGGUAGUUGGUUGAAUAGUAUGAUCUAACGGGUGGAAAUGAUCAAAAAAAUAGACCUAACGAUAAAAAAUUCAAGAGUAUAAAGGGCACUAUACCAAUAAGAGUAUAGUAGCCGGACUCAUAAUUUAAUGAUUAUUAUCUGAGUUGUCGAAUUCGAAAACUAGUUGUCCUCAUAGUAAAAUAAAAAUAAAAGGAUUAAUUGUAUACAGUUUUCUGUAAAUAUAUCGAAUGAUAAAUAAAUUCUUACAAAGUUCAAUUUUUUAUCUUUAUUCCUUUAAAAGUCUGAUGAUAUUGAUUUUGUUACCGUUAGAGCACAGUUUAUUUUUUUACAGUGGUUAAGUGAAAUGACAUUUUUAUCCUUAUAAAUUUAUCUCUCAAGAAAUUCCAACUGUUAGAAUUAUAUAGAAAUGUCAUCCUCAAAAAUAUUUUACCUAAUAAUAUAAAAGGGAUAAAAAAAAUCAAUUUAACUCAUUUACUAACUAAGAUUAAGUAUUUUACUAAUAGUUAACUAUAUUUUUCUAAUGGAUCCUAAUAGUAGGGGUAUAUUUGAAAACGAGAGGACUUUUGGAGGGAUAAAAGAUGAAAAUAAAAAAUUGAAAUUUGCAUAAAUAUCUGCUAUUCGAUAUAUGUACAGAAAGCUGUACGCAAUUAACCUAAAAUAAAAUUACAUGAUAAUUAAGUGUAAUAUUUUUGAACCACGGAAUAACAAAAUAAGAAUACGCUAAAUCACACAGAGUAGGGGAAAUUGAAGGUUUUUUCUUUAUUUAAUUCCCAUGUUAAGAAGAAUCACAGGAUAGGUGUGGACAAAGUGGUGUCGAGCUCGGGCCAAUGCUGCAGAUCUAAACUCAGACUUGGAUCAAAGAAAGAAUAUUGGAGAAUGGAGAUCCCAAGACAAGUUUGUGUGUGGUACCCAGCACACAUGCAUCAUGAUUCUACAUCGAGAUCCAACACAUAUACAUAUGUUCAAAAUUCAUAACACAACAAAAAGUCUCUUCCACAACAUAUUAUGUAGCAUCACAGAUCUAGAGAUCUAGAGAGAGAGAGAGAGAGAGAGAGAGAGAGAGAGAGAGAGAGAGUGUGGAGAAAUUAUUGCUUGGACUAUGAUCUACAUAUAUGUAGUACGAAGUUUCCAGAAACUCAAAUUUACAGAAUUUUAAAGUUAAAUGUAUACAAUUAGAUAAAAGGUACAACACAAAAGCUUCUAUCCUAAAAGUUAUACUCUUUUUACUUUCUAACUCAUAUUAGAGUUUUGAAUUAAUUUCAUACAGGUCUCUACUAGCAUAGUAAAUGACAAAUAUAUUUCUACAAAGUUCAACUUUUAUAUAUUGUCCAUACAAAAGUCUCGAUAUUUUCAAAUAUAUCCUUACCGUUAGAAUCCGUUAGAAAAAAUUAAUUCAAAACUCUAAUAUGAGUUAGAAAGUAAAAAGAGUUUUGAAUUAAUUUCAUACAGGUCUCUACUAGCAUAGUAAAUGACAAAUAUAUUUCUACAAAGUUCAACUUUUAUAUAUUGUCCAUACAAAAGUCUCGAUAUUUUCAAAUAUAUCCUUACCGUUAGAAUCCGUUAGAAAAAAUUAAUUAACCAUAGAUUAAAUACUUAACACUGGUUAGUUUUUGACAUUUUUCCUCUUUUUAUAUUAUAUUGUUAUGCCUUUUGGAGGGAUACAUUUGUGACAAUAAAAUUGAAAAUAUAAACAGUUUUAUAACGGUAAUAAACUAGAAGGAUAUAUCAGGGCUUUUAUAUGAAUAACAUAUAAAAGUUGAACUUUGUAGGGAUAUAUUUAUUAUUCAUUAUAUUUGUAGGGACCUGUAUGAAAUUAAUUCUAAAUCUUUUGACAAUAUCCCCAAUCAAAAGUUGGCUUAAAAGGCCGGAAUUUUGAUUUGUAUUUUUUUUUUUUUUUUUUUUUGAGAGAUAGAUAGCACGCUGUUCGUUUCGUUUAUUUCAUUUAGAAAUAAACUUGGUUGGAAAUGUGAAUCGACUAGGAUUUUGAUUUGUAUUUCAAAAUGGACUAAGCUAGAUAGGAAUCGAAUGAAACCCAAUCUAAGCAAAACUAAAUUGAAACGAGGCUUGACUAGAAUUAAACUGGAGCAUUAGCAUAAAAUUGCGGAUGGGAAAAUCGAACUCAGAAUCUCUUAAGAUGGAAGAAACGUAGGACAGGCUCUUAUACCAUAUUACGCAAAGGAUCAAUCCAGUAAUAAAUAAUCUAGAAUUCGUCUUAGCAAUUAACCUCCUUCUUUGGACAUCACGAGGUUCAUGAGCAUGGUUUAUCUAAUAUCCACGGUUCAUCUUAUAUUCACCAUGCAUGCGAUCAGAUUCGUAAUGACGAACUAAUCUUAAAUUGUUUCAUACUAAAUUGAUCUUUUGUAACAUUCAAGACAUCAAGCUUAGGAAUUUGGUAGAGGAGAGAGAGAGAGAGAGAGAGAGAGAGAGAGAGAGAGAGGGGUUUGUUAAUUAGGGUUUGUCUCUUCUUUGGUCCUCUUUCUAUAAAACCAAUUGCUUUUACUAUCUACUGCAGCAGCAGCAGGAAGCAGCAGCAGCAGCGCAUGGAGGGUCCUUUUUACACUGCCCAUUCCGCCAGUCUUCACAUGCCUCUCCAGGCCCCAUUCCCAGCCUGGGCCCCUGCUCCUACAAAGAGAAAUUGCUGCCCGCACCAACUGCACCACAUUACCUGUGACACACAUCCUUAGUUACAUUUUUUGUAUACAUGCAUGAUGCAUAUGCAUCUUAAAGAUCUUAAAGAUCAGAAGUAGUUUGAUCUCUUCCAUUGUAGAGCUUUUCUAGCGCUUCUAUAUGCUGCAAAAAAAUAAGAAUUGAGAUUCUAAUACCCAUAUAUACCCAUAUUCAGAAACUUCAAUUUGAUACUUCCACUGUUUUGCAAUAAAGAAGUCUUCGCAUUAACGUAAUCCCAAGGCAAACGUGCAGAGAGUAGUAUAUAUAAUUCGACUCGUAGGUGUUGAAUAUAAAAAUAUUAAAAAACUGUUCUUUAAGCUAUCGUUUAGUUCGGGAAAUAAGCUAUUUUAGGCUAUCCCUGGUAUAGGUACAACUUUAGUUAAUAACAAUUAGAUAAUUAAAUUAGUCAAAAUAUUAAUUAAUUAAUCAAUAUGAAUAUUGGUUAUGUCAAAUAAUUAAUUAAUUAAUUAAUAAUUAUUUAAUUAGCAAAUUAAUUAAAAUAAUAAAUUUAAUAACUCAAAUAGCUAAUUAAAUAUUUAUUAGAGUAAUAAAUUAAGUACUACAAUUAAUGAUUUUAUAAUAAAAAUAAUAUAUUAUAAUAUAUAACAUAUUAUGUCUAUAUAAUUUAAUUUUAAUUCAAUUUAUAAUUUAAUAAAACUUUGGAAUAGCAUUAUUCUACCAAAAUGGUAGAACAGUAAAUUACAAACUAUUCCGAAAUAGUCGGGAAUAGCAAUGUUUGAGCAGGAUAAAAUAUUUCAGCCCAAAUACACUCCGUUUGGUCGGAUAGUGGGAUAACUUUCGUUAUCCCUGUUUUAUCCCCGAACCAAACGGGGCCUGAUAGCUUAAAUUACAUGAAAAUAAUGUUUGCUUCAUGCAAUUUAACAUAGUAUCAGUGUAUGAGGUUCCGAAUUGGGAUUUCGUUUAAUUCAUAUCCCUAUAAAAAGUUUCAAUUUUAGAGGUGAAAAAGAGUGUUGAAUACAAAAAUAUAAAAGUACUGUUUUCUAACAGAUCAAAAUAUUGUAACACGCAUAUUUAUCUAACAAAUAAGCUUUUAUUUUUGAAGUAUAGGUGCACAUAUGGUGGUACAUCAAGUGCAAGCAAAAAUUUCUCCUACUACAGCAUUUCCCUUCUAAAAGGGAAAUUAGAGCUCUCAUUGCAUAUUCUCAAUACAAAUGGACCAAAUAGGUGUUCUAUAUAAUAAAAGAAAAAACUUCAAAUACCACCCUUAUGGUUUGGCACUUUUCGCUUUAGUACCCUGUGGUUUAAAAUGUAUCAAUUUAGUAUCCUGUGGUUUUGCAUUUUCUCACUUUAGUUCCCUGUGGUUUAAAGUAUAUCAAUUUAGUACUCUGUGGUUUCAUUUUUUUCUUUUCGUCUCAGCUCCUCUGUUAAUAUUUCUUUAAAUUAUAUACAAAAAACUUUAGAUACCCUGCAUAAGUUUAUUUAAUAUUUACUUUAGUACCCUUUUGUUUUAACUUUGUCACUGAUUUUUUUUUCCUCCAUUAAUAUUUCAUUAAAUUAUAUACGAAAAACUUCAGAUACCCUACAUAGGUUUAUCGAAUAUUUACAUUAGUACCCUUUAGUUUUAACUCUAUCACUGAUUUAAUGAAAAAAAAAAUAGUGAAAUAGAUAAUAAAAAGAAAAAAAUAAAACCACAGGGUACUAACUUGAUACACUUUAAACUAUAGGAUAUUCAAGUGAGAAAGUGCGAAGCCACAGGGGUUAAAUUGAUACAUUUUAAACCACAAAGUACUAAAGUGAGAAAGUGUGAAACCAAGUGCAGGUAUUUGAAGUUUACCCAUAAUAAAAAGAGUGAGAGUGUGUUGAGUACUUUAGAAAUUCUCUGUGUAGUAGUAGUAGGUUCCUUAGAAGGCUCUGUGUACAAAGUUGAGAGGGACGUAAAGCAAAACCCUUUUUCUUUUGCAGAGAGAGGCAUCAAAAGGGUGCAGGGGGGAGAUAAUGAGCAUGCAAAAUUUCAAUACAAAAGAAGAGUGGACAUGUAAAAUAAAAUACAAAAAAUAAAAAAAAGUAUUUUGUGUGCUUAGACACACUUUUUUGUCAGGUUUUUUAGUACAAUAAUUUUUUCCUAAAAUUUUAUUCUACAAAUAGAAAUGUUAAAUUUUUAUUUAUAAAUAUGGUCUUAUAAAAGCGGUGAAUGGUUCACCGCUUUUAUUCUUUUUUCACUCCUAAUGAGAAGUAAUGAAUACGGCGAAUCAUUCACCGCAUUUAGAAUUCUAUUUUUAUAAUUAUUUUUUAACAAAAAUUAUUUUUAUAAUUAUAAAAAUCGAUAGGAUUAUUUAUAAAUAAAAUUCCUUUUUUGUCUCUAUGCAACUCAGAACUUUGUCCUUUCCUUCGCACGCAAUGUUUUGAGGGGGAGUGCAUGGUCUUGACCGAAUCAUGUUGUUGUCAACAGGUUAAGCUGGAUCCAAUACAUUAGGGUGAUGAUAUGGUCAAUUUGGAGUGUUGUUUAUACAUAAAAACCUAAAUUUGGAACAUAGGUGCAUGUUUGUAAUUUACAUGUAUAUUAUUUUGUAGACAAUUAUUCAUUUGCAUUUUACGAACCGGUGGUCUGGUUGAAAAGUAUCAUCGGAUUCAUCGAGUCGUGCUUUUAACAAACAUUUGAAUGCUUAAAUAUGUGACUUUUUUUUUAUAGUUGCGUACUCUGGAGCUGGGAUAUCAACUACUAAGACUUUCGCAAGUUGCCCUACAAAUAAUACCAUAAAUUAGAAUGAACAACAGAGAAUUCCAGUGUGAGAAUAACUGAGUUCGAGUCACGCCCAUCCCUAAAUUGCUAUGACAAAAUUGAGCCACUGUAGGAGAUACUUGAGUUCUAGUUCCUGCAGUAAGGUAAGGUUCAGAUGCAGAGAAAAAGGCAAUCUAUAUGUUAUUAAGAUAAAAACAUCCGGGUCUUACCUAAAUUACGGAUCAUUUGAAUUUGAUUACUGAAUCUUUCAAAAUUUAGAUUUUAUUAUCUAAUUUUUCAAUUUAUUUUAGUUGAGUCGGUCAAUAGGACUUUGGCUCUAAAAUUUAAAUUAAUUACUUAUUUUUAUAAACUUAUAAUUAUAAAAAUUAUAUAAAAUAUAGUAACUAAAUUUGUAAAGAUAAAAAACACGCAUUCAAGUUUUAAAAUCAAAGUAUUGUUGACUGACUCAAAUCAAAUAAAUCGAAAGAUUAGAUAAUAUAAUUAAAAUUUUAAAAAGUUGGAUAGCUAGAUCCAAAUAAUCUAUAGUUUAACUAAGAUUCAUACGUUUUUAUCUAUUAUUAAAAUAA
RNAcentral lists this long non-coding RNA (24850 nucleotides) under Ananas comosus (pineapple). RNAcentral describes it as "long non-coding RNA (ACOM_LNC023014)". The record is from RNAcentral. Lineage: Eukaryota; Viridiplantae; Streptophyta; Magnoliopsida; Poales; Bromeliaceae.